GACGAACGCUGGCGGCGUGCUUAACACAUGCAAGUCGAACGGUAAGGCCCUUCGGGGUACACGAGUGGCGAACGGGUGAGUGACACGUGGGUGAUCUGCCCUGCACUCCGGGAUAAGCCUGGGAAACUGGGUCUAAUACCGGAUAGGACCCUGGGAUGCAUGUCCUGGGGUGGAAAGCUUUUGCGGUGUGGGAUGGGCCCGCGGCCUAUCAGCUUGUUGGGGAGGUAAUGGCUCACCAAGGCGACGACGGGUAGCCGGCCUGAGAGGGCGACCGGCCACACUGGGACUGAGACACGGCCCAGACUCCUACGGGAGGCAGCAGUGGGGAAUAUUGGGCAAUGGAGGAAACUCUGACCCAGCGACGCCGCGUGAGGGAUGAAGGCCUUCGGGUUGUAAACCUCUUUCAGUAGGGAAGAAGCGAAAGUGACGGUACCUACAGAAGAAGCACCGGCUAACUAUGUGCCAGCCGCCGCCGUAA
This 478-nucleotide ribosomal RNA is filed under the name uncultured bacterium. RNAcentral describes it as "partial 16S ribosomal RNA". It matches the Rfam family "Bacterial small subunit ribosomal RNA", at positions 28 to 523 of the family's 1533-position model. The record is from RNAcentral.